This 699-nucleotide unclassified non-coding RNA is filed under the name Hevea brasiliensis (rubber tree). Lineage: Eukaryota; Viridiplantae; Streptophyta; Magnoliopsida; Malpighiales; Euphorbiaceae. The record is from RNAcentral.
CCAUAAAUUAAGGUAAAAUCUCAUCAAUUCUAUUUCUAACACUCCCCCUUGUCCCUUGAUGAGAGUUUUGUUGAUGUUAUGGAUCCAUCAUCAAGCUUCCUUUUUUGUUUUUAAUGGGAAAAAUAGCUUUGGGACUUAAAUCAUAGGCUAUAAUGAAGAAGAAAGAGAAUUUGGCAAAAAAAUAGCUUUGGAACUCAAACCCUAGGCUAAAAUGAGGAAGAAUGAGAAUAUGAGAGAAAAAUGGCUCUAGGACUCAAAACCUAGGCACUAAUGAAGGAGAAGAAGAAAGUAGGGACUUCAACCCUUGGCUUGCAAAUCAAGAAGAAAAAGAAGAAGGGGAAGAUGAAUAGUUUGGGAAAACCCAUAGCUUUUGGGACCCAAACUCAUAGCUUUGUGAAGGACGACAAAAAGAAAAAAAGAAACCAUAGAAUUUUUUGCAGGCUCUGAUGGAAUGUAGAGAAAAUGGAUCAAGCCUAAUUUUAGUCUAAAAGCUAGCUCAAAGGGAAGAGGUAUGCCCAAAUCUUAUAUUUAACUUAAAUUUCUUGUCUCAAACUAAUGUGGGACAACAUACUCUCCCUCACGCUUAGAUAUGUACAUCUGGAGUGUGAAGUUUACAAGCAUGAAUAUUUAUGGGUUGCCCAACAUUAAAACAGGGUGGGCUCUGAUAUCAUGUUAAAAUUUAGAAGAAGAAGAAGAAGA